This 616-nucleotide ribosomal RNA is filed under the name Cryptosporidium parvum. Its description in RNAcentral is "SSU rRNA". It matches the Rfam family "Eukaryotic small subunit ribosomal RNA", at positions 323 to 969 of the family's 1831-position model. Lineage: Eukaryota; Apicomplexa; Conoidasida; Eucoccidiorida; Cryptosporidiidae. The record is from RNAcentral.
AGACGGUAGGGUAUUCGGCCUACCGUGGCAAUGACGGGUAACGGGGAAUUAGGGUUCGAUUCCGGAGAGGGAGCCUGAGAAACGGCUACCACAUCUAAGGAAGGCAGCAGGCGCGCAAAUUACCCAAUCCUAAUACAGGGAGGUAGUGACAAGAAAUAACAAUACAGGACUUUUUGGUUUUGUAAUUGGAAUGAGUUAAGUAUAAACCCCUUUACAAGUAUCAAUUGGAGGGCAAGUCUGGUGCCAGCAGCCGCGGUAAUUCCAGCUCCAAUAGCGUAUAUUAAAGUUGUUGCAGUUAAAAAGCUCGUAGUUGGAUUUCUGUUAAUAAUUUAUAUAAAAUAUUUUGAAUAUUUAUAUAACAUUAACAUAAUUCAUAUUACUAUAUUUUUUAGUAUAUGAAAUUUUACUUUGAGAAAAUUAGAGUGCUUAAAGCAGGCAAAUGCCUUGAAUACUCCAGCAUGGAAUAAUAUUAAAGAUUUUUAUCUUUCUUAUUGGUUCUAAGAUAAGAAUAAUGAUUAAUAGGGACAGUUGGGGGCAUUUGUAUUUAACAGUCAGAGGUGAAAUUCUUAGAUUUAUUAAAGACAAACUAAUGCGAAAGCAUUUGCCAAGGAUGUUU